RNAcentral lists this small RNA (183 nucleotides) under Crocodylus porosus (Australian saltwater crocodile). RNAcentral describes it as "TUC338 (ENSCPRG00005018804.1)". The record is from RNAcentral. Lineage: Eukaryota; Metazoa; Chordata; Crocodylia; Crocodylidae.
CUGACAGCCUUGUUAACCAAAGUCCCCUCUCUAACUAAAAAAUAAAAAAUUCUCAGCACAAGCAGCAAUAGUGCAAGUUUUCCCUCACUGCCAUGUCACUGUACCUCAAUUCUGAUUGACAGAGACCAUCUCGAAAGUGAGAGUUUAUUUCAGUUUCCACGACCCAUUUAGCCCUUGGCCUGU